This 363-nucleotide ribosomal RNA is filed under the name bacterium. RNAcentral describes it as "bacterial SSU rRNA". It matches the Rfam family "Bacterial small subunit ribosomal RNA", at positions 555 to 918 of the family's 1533-position model. The record is from RNAcentral.
UGGGCGUAAGCGCACGCAGGCGGUCUGUCAAGUCAGAUGUGAAAUCCCCGGGCUUAACCUGGGAACUGCAUUUGAAACUGGCAGGCUAGAGUCUUGUAGAGGGGGGUAGAAUUCCAGGUGUAGCGGUGAAAUGCGUAGAGAUCUGGAGGAAUACCGGUGGCGAAGGCGGCCCCCUGGACAAAGACUGACGCUCAGGUGCGAAAGCGUGGGGAGCAAACAGGAUUAGAUACCCUGGUAGUCCACGCCGUAAACGAUGUCGACUUGGAGGUUGUGCCCUUGAGGCGUGGCUUCCGGAGCUAACGCGUUAAGUCGACCGCCUGGGGAGUACGGCCGCAAGGUUAAAACUCAAAGAAAUUGACGGAA